Molecule: long non-coding RNA, 350 nt
Organism: Plodia interpunctella (Indianmeal moth)
Lineage: Eukaryota; Metazoa; Arthropoda; Insecta; Lepidoptera; Pyralidae
Exons: 3
Source: RefSeq, a predicted model, not a curated record
ACUUGAACAGCUAUUCACCUGCCUUAUGUUUACAAAUUCCUACCUAUUGGUACAUUCAUUACUACAAAUUAUAAAGACGUACGCCGCAAUGGGUACAUAAACCUUCCUCCAUGCGUCGUAUUCCUCACUCUUCAUCUCCGAACGCGAAUAAAUUCAAAAAUAUUUACAGAAAGCAAAAUAUGGGCAAAUGUUAGAAUGAAUCGUAUUUUCGACAUUUACUACAAAAGCGAAAACCCCAUUGAACAAUCAGGAAAACUUGGAGAACAUAGUAGAAUCACCGCCUUUUGUUGAUAAAAUGGGUAACAGUGACAGUGAAGAAGCUGAAGACGAUGAAGAAGAAAACGAAAAAG